RNAcentral lists this unclassified non-coding RNA (237 nucleotides) under Hevea brasiliensis (rubber tree). The record is from RNAcentral. Lineage: Eukaryota; Viridiplantae; Streptophyta; Magnoliopsida; Malpighiales; Euphorbiaceae.
AAAAAAGAAACCCACCCGAGUAUUCCUUUCCAGAGGAACAUAAUCUUUCAGUGUGCUCUUCCGCCUCCGCCUCCGCCCUUGCCUGUCAUUUCGCCUCCGCAUCUGCAUCCGAUUCCGUCUUAACUUCGGAUCACACUUUGGGUGGUACCACUUGUAGUCAUAUAUCUCAAUCAGGUCAAUGGAUACCUCGCAUUACUGAUAAUAAGUAGAUGAGGGAAUUUAAACUUUUAUUUUAUA